Molecule: non-coding RNA, 182 nt
Filed under: Prevotellaceae bacterium
Lineage: Bacteria; Pseudomonadati; Bacteroidota; Bacteroidia; Bacteroidales; Prevotellaceae
Source: RNAcentral
UAUCUUUGCAUCGCAAUAGGUUCAUGCGAUUGAUUAAAAGGGAAUCAGGUGCAAGGCCUGAACUGUCCCGCAGCUGUAAAGGGCUCUUUAUGGAGAUGAACACAAGCCACUAUCCUCUUGGAUGGGAAGGCGUUCAUACUUGAGUCUCAAGUCAGAAGACCUGCCGUUGCCAUUCAUAUACU